GGAAUAUAAGAACCCGUCUCUUAACUUUUAACUAAAAAAGUUAAGAACCGGUUCUUAACUUUUUUAGUUAAAAGUUAAGAGACGGAUUCUUAUAUUCC
Molecule: microRNA precursor, 98 nt
Filed under: Brassica oleracea var. oleracea
Lineage: Eukaryota; Viridiplantae; Streptophyta; Magnoliopsida; Brassicales; Brassicaceae
Description: MIR9563 microRNA precursor family
Rfam family: MIR9563 microRNA precursor family
Source: Rfam by way of RNAcentral